AUCUAUGGCCAUGCCACCCUGAACAAGCCUGAUGUCUGAUCUCAGAAACUAAGCAGGAUUGGGCCUGGUUAGUACUUGGAUGGGAGACCACCUCGGAAGACCAGGUGCUGUAGGCA
RNAcentral lists this ribosomal RNA (116 nucleotides) under Pteropus alecto (black flying fox). The record is from RNAcentral. Lineage: Eukaryota; Metazoa; Chordata; Mammalia; Chiroptera; Pteropodidae.